RNAcentral lists this ribosomal RNA (460 nucleotides) under uncultured bacterium. RNAcentral describes it as "partial 16S ribosomal RNA". It matches the Rfam family "Bacterial small subunit ribosomal RNA", at positions 338 to 795 of the family's 1533-position model. The record is from RNAcentral.
CCUACGGGAGGCUGCAGUGAGGAAUAUUGGUCAAUGGACGCAAGUCUGAACCAGCCAAGCAGCGUGCAGGAUGACUGCUCUAUGAGUUGUAAACUGCUUUUGUACGAGGGUAAACGCAGGUACGCGUACCUUUCUGAAAGUAUUUUACGAAUAAGGAUCGGCUAACUCCGUGCCAGCAGCCGCGGUAAUACGGAGGAUUCGAGCGUUAUCCGGAUUUAUUGGGUUUAAAGGGUGCGUAGGUGGUUGGUUAAGUCAGUGGUGAAAUCCUGAGGCUCAACUUCGAAAUUGCACCUGAUACUGGCAGGCUAGAGAGUAGUUGAGGUAGGCGGAAUGAAUGGUGUAGCGGUGAAAUGCUUAGAUAUCAUACAGAACUCCGAUUGCGAAGGCAGCUUACCAAGCUGCUUCUGACGUUGAUGCACGAAAGCGUGGGUAGCAAACAGGAUUAGAUACCCCUGUAGUC